Molecule: ribosomal RNA, 253 nt
Filed under: uncultured bacterium
Lineage: Bacteria
Description: partial 16S ribosomal RNA
Rfam family: Bacterial small subunit ribosomal RNA
Source: RNAcentral
UACGUAGGGAGCAAGCGUUGUCCGGAAUCAUUGGGCGUAAAGCGCGCGUAGGUGGCUUCAUAAGUCCGUUGUGAAAGUCAAAGGCUCAACCUUUGAAAGCCGAUGGAUACUGUGAAGCUAGAGUACGGAAGAGGCGAGUGGAAUUCCUGGUGUAGCGGUGGAAUGCGUAGAGAUGUGGAGGAACACCGAUGGCGAAGGCAGCCUCCUGGGCCAACACUGACGCUCAUGCACGAAAGCGUGGGGAGCAAACAGG